RNAcentral lists this ribosomal RNA (440 nucleotides) under uncultured bacterium. RNAcentral's name for it is "partial 16S ribosomal RNA". It matches the Rfam family "Bacterial small subunit ribosomal RNA", at positions 338 to 795 of the family's 1533-position model. The record is from RNAcentral.
CCUACGGGGGGCAGCAGUGGGGGAUAUUGCACAAUGGGGGAAACCCUGAUGCAGCGACGCCGCGUGUGGGAAGACGGUCCUCUGGAUUGUAAACCACUGUCCCCAGGGACGAAGAUGACGGUACCUGGGGAGGAAGCUCCGGCUAACUACGUGCCAGCAGCCGCGGUAAUACGUGGGGGGCGAGCGUUGUCCGCAUUUACUGGGUGUAAAGGGAGCGUAGGCGGGACUGCAAGUUGGGUGUCAAAUCUACCGGCUCAACAGGUAGCCGCACUGAAAACUGCAGUUCUUGAGUGAAGUAGAGGCAGGCGGAAUUCCUAGUGUAGCGGUGAAAUGCGUAGAUAGUAGGAGGAACACCAGUGGCGAAGGCGGACUGCUGGGCUUUUACUGACGCUGAGGCUCGAAAGUGUGGGGAGCGAACAGGAUUAGAUACCCCUGUAGUC